GGUCCAGACUCCUACGGGAGGCAGCAGUAGGGAAUAUUGCUCAAUGGGGGAAACCCUGAAGCAGCAACGCCGCGUGGAGGAUGAAGGUUUUAGGAUUGUAAACUCCUUUUGUAAGAGAAGAUUAUGACGGUAUCUUACGAAUAAGCACCGGCUAACUCCGUGCCAGCAGCCGCGGUAAUACGGAGGGUGCAAGCGUUACUCGGAAUCACUGGGCGUAAAGAGCGCGUAGGCGGGAAAGCAAGUCAGAUGUGAAAUCCUGUGGCUUAACUACAGAACUGCAUUUGAAACUGCCUUUCUAGAGUAUGGGAGAGGUAGGUGGAAUUCUUGGUGUAGGGGUAAAAUCCGUAGAGAUCAAGAGGAAUACUCAUUGCGAAGGCGACCUGCUGGAACAUUACUGACGCUGAUGCGCGAAAGCGUGGGGAGCAAACAGGAUUAGAUACCCUGGUAGUCCACGCCCUAAACGAUGAAUGCUAGUUGUUGCCCUGCUUGUCAGGGCAGUAAUGCAGCUAACGCAUUAAGCAUUCCGCCUGGGGAGUACGGUCGCAAGAUUAAAACUCAAAGGAAUAGACGGGGACCCGCACAAGCGGUGGAGCAUGUGGUUUAAUUCGAAGAUACGCGAAGAACCUUACCUAGGCUUGACAUUGAUAGAAUCCGCUAGAGAUAGUGGAGUGUCUAGCUUGCUAGACCUUGAAAACAGGUGCUGCACAGCA
This 710-nucleotide ribosomal RNA is filed under the name Helicobacter canis. RNAcentral's name for it is "bacterial SSU rRNA". It matches the Rfam family "Bacterial small subunit ribosomal RNA", at positions 328 to 1050 of the family's 1533-position model. The record is from RNAcentral. Lineage: Bacteria; Pseudomonadati; Campylobacterota; Epsilonproteobacteria; Campylobacterales; Helicobacteraceae.